RNAcentral lists this long non-coding RNA (393 nucleotides) under Haliotis rubra (blacklip abalone). RNAcentral describes it as "uncharacterized LOC124269391, transcript variant X1". The record is from RNAcentral. Lineage: Eukaryota; Metazoa; Mollusca; Gastropoda; Lepetellida; Haliotidae.
GUAUGCAUCACGGAAAAUAUUUCCGCAACGAAAAUGUAUAAACACGACGUUAACAGAUAUGACGCAUUUGUUCAACAAGACAUUAAUCUCUCGGUGAACAGUCGGUCUAUUUUUAAUCGAGCACUUCAUCAUUUCCGCGACGAUUUCACUUUUCUCAACGAUAACAAGGGUGUCACCACAGGCGAGAGUCGGACCACAGGCCCAAGCCACAGUCCCACCACAGGCUAGGCGAGAGUCGGACCACAGGCCCAAGCGACAGUCCCACCACAGGCCCAACUGAGAGUCACAGCACAGGCUCGGGAAAGAGUCGUACCUCAGUCCCAGGUGGGAGUCGCAGAUCCAUCGCGUAUACUGGUGCCAUGUCAGCCGAAAUAAAGACACCUUCUAACAAUA